Molecule: long non-coding RNA, 553 nt
Organism: Bufo gargarizans (Asiatic toad)
Lineage: Eukaryota; Metazoa; Chordata; Amphibia; Anura; Bufonidae
Exons: 3
Source: RefSeq, a predicted model, not a curated record
CAGACGUUGGACGCGUAUAAGGCCUCGUGCGCGCCACCGUAUCAGUUUUGCAGAUGGCAGGUCUGAGAACUAUGGAGACCGUCCGCGUGCAUGGCGCAAUUUGGUUAUAGAAAUGGCCAUUCUUGUCCGCAAAACGGACCACAAUAGGACGUGCUCUAUAUAUGGUGGGACGGCGGCAGGGAUGCGGAUGGCACGCGGAAGACGUCCAUGUGAGGUCUGCUUUCUUUCAGACCCAUAGAAAUGAAUGAGCCUGCAGGCCAUCUGUAAAAAAAAGGAGUGGAUCAGAUGGAGGCCAGAAAUACGGUCGUCUGCAUGAGGCCUGAAGGACUGCUAGCCAAAGCUUUGGAAUAUGCAGGAGACACUGAAGAGAGAAGGCAUGGAGCAAAUAUAAAGUGGAUUCCAACUAAGGACGCAGAGUGGGAGAGCCGCUGAGGUCACCUCCUCCAUUGGGCACAUGAUGCCAUACUCUUCACAGCCAUUCUCCUGAACCAGAGGAUCCGUCUUGUGAGGGUCAAACAUUAUAUUAUUUGGCGUCACCAGGAGAACACCGCUG